RNAcentral lists this transfer RNA (74 nucleotides) under Myoviridae sp. ctPuP5. RNAcentral's name for it is "tRNA-Val". It matches the Rfam family "tRNA". Rfam says of the family: Transfer RNA (tRNA) molecules are approximately 80 nucleotides in length. Their secondary structure includes four short double-helical elements and three loops (D, anti-codon, and T loops). Lineage: Duplodnaviria; Heunggongvirae; Uroviricota; Caudoviricetes. The record is from RNAcentral.
UGGGGAUUAGUUCAGUGGUUCAGAACGUCACUUUUACACAGUGAAUGUCGUUGGUUCGAUUCCAACAUCCCCAA